This 460-nucleotide ribosomal RNA is filed under the name uncultured bacterium. Its description in RNAcentral is "partial 16S ribosomal RNA". It matches the Rfam family "Bacterial small subunit ribosomal RNA", at positions 338 to 795 of the family's 1533-position model. The record is from RNAcentral.
CCUACGGGUGACAGCAGUGAGGAAUAUUGGUCAAUGGCCGGAAGGCUGAACCAGCCAUGCCGCGUGAAGGUCAGUGCCCUUUGGGCGUUAAACUUCUUUUGUGCGGGAGCAAUAAUGGUCACGUGUGGCCAGACGAGAGUACCGUACGAAUAAGCAUCGGCUAACUCCGUGCCAGCAGCCGCGGUAAUACGGGGGAUGCAAGCGUUAUCCGGAUUUAUUGGGUUUAAAGGGUGCGUAGGCUGUGAGGUAAGUCAGCGGUGAAAUGCCCCCGGUCAACGGGGUGAAGUGCCAUUGAUACUGCCUGGCUGGAAUGCGGAUGCCGUGGGAGGAAUGUGUGGUGUAGCGGUGAAAUGCAUAGAUAUCACACAGAACACCGAUUGCGAAGGCAUCUCACGAAUCCGCGAUUGACGCUGAUGCACGAAAGCGUGGGUAUCAAACAGGAUUAGAUACCCCUGUAGUC